This 384-nucleotide long non-coding RNA is filed under the name Manihot esculenta (cassava). RNAcentral's name for it is "long non-coding RNA (MESC_LNC012367)". Lineage: Eukaryota; Viridiplantae; Streptophyta; Magnoliopsida; Malpighiales; Euphorbiaceae. The record is from RNAcentral.
UGUAAUACCCGGCUAGACUCCGGUAUCGGAAUUCCUACCGUUCGGUGGAAUCUCGGAUGUCGGAAGCCUCUAGUAGGGUAGAAUCAUGUUUUUAUAAAAUGUUUUAAGGAAUUUCAUGGUUUUAAGUAAAAUGGAAAUGAGUUUUUGCAUAAAAACAACCUUGAAGGAAAACUCAGGUUCGGCCGCCGAAUCUCAAGUUCGGCCGCCGAACAUGCAUGCCUUCGGGAGCGCCUUUAGGCCCCCGAAAGCAUAAGUGAGGAAAGUCCAGGUUCGGCCGCUGAACCUCAAGUUCGGCCGCCGAACCUCAAGUUCGGCCGCCGAACAUGGCAUGCAUGCGGAGGCACGUUCGGCCACCGAACGUGGCCUGGCCAGCCACUAUAAAAG